GGAGGGUGCAAGCGUUAAUCGGAAUGACUGGGCGUAAAGGGCGUGUAGGUGGAUAGAUAAGUUAGAUGUGAAAGACCCGGGCUUAACCUGGGUAUGUCAUUUGAGACUGUCUGUCUAGAGUAUGAGAGAGGGAAGUGGAAUUUCCGGUGUAGCAGUGAAAUGCGUAGAGAUCGGAAGGAACACCAGUGGCGAAGGCGACUUCCUGGCUCAAUACUGACACUGAGGCGCGAAAGCGUGGGGGGAGCAAACAGGAUUAGAUACCCUGGUAGUCCACGCUGUAAACGAUGAGUACUAGCCGUUGGUGGGCUUAAGCCCGUCAGUGGCGCAACUAACGCAAGAAGUACUCCGCCUGGGACUACGGCCGCAAGGCUA
RNAcentral lists this ribosomal RNA (372 nucleotides) under uncultured organism. RNAcentral's name for it is "partial 16S ribosomal RNA". It matches the Rfam family "Bacterial small subunit ribosomal RNA", at positions 527 to 896 of the family's 1533-position model. The record is from RNAcentral.